UACGUAGGUGGCAAGCGUUGUCCGGAUUUACUGGGUGUAAAGGGCGUGCAGCCGGGCUGACAAGUCAGAUGUGAAAUCCCGCGGCUUAACCGCGGAACUGCAUUUGAAACUGUUGGUCUUGAGUAUCGGAGAGGCAGGCGGAAUUCCUAGUGUAGCGGUGAAAUGCGUAGAUAUUAGGAGGAACACCAGUGGCGAAGGCGGCCUGCUGGACGACAACUGACGGUGAGGCGCGAAAGCGUGGGGAGCAAACAGG
RNAcentral lists this ribosomal RNA (253 nucleotides) under uncultured bacterium. RNAcentral's name for it is "partial 16S ribosomal RNA". It matches the Rfam family "Bacterial small subunit ribosomal RNA", at positions 524 to 776 of the family's 1533-position model. The record is from RNAcentral.